Molecule: ribosomal RNA, 441 nt
Filed under: Triticum aestivum (bread wheat)
Lineage: Eukaryota; Viridiplantae; Streptophyta; Magnoliopsida; Poales; Poaceae
Description: partial small subunit ribosomal RNA
Source: RNAcentral
AUGUUUACAGCUCAGCCGGAUUCUAGGCCGGAAGUGGUCACGGAAUGGAUUCUUCCAAAAGUAACAACAGAUAUGAAUGAGAGAUUAUGUGCCCCGGUCACAGAUGAUGAGAUUGAGCAAGCUCUCUUCAGUAUGCAUCCGAACAAAUCACUUGGGGCGGACGGAUUUACUGCAGGUUUUUAUAUCCGUCAUUGGAAUAUUUUGAAACAAGCUAUAUGCAGAGCUGUUCGGGAUUUUUUGGAGGGAGGAGUUAUGCCUGAUGUGGUUAACAGUACCGUACUUGUCCUUAUUCCAAAAGUCAAGUCACCCCAGGAGCUUAGUCAGUAUAGACCGAUUUCGCUAUGCAAUGUUUUAUACAAAAUUGCAUCCAAAGUCUUGGCACUUAGACUCAGGCCUAUUCUAGAUGAGAUUAUUGCUGAAGAACAGAGUGCCUUUGUGCCG